AAUAGAUACCCUGGUAGUCCACGCCGUAAACGAUGUCGACUUGGAGGUUGUUCCCUUGAGGAGUGGCUUCCGGAGCUAACGCGUUAAGUCGACCGCCUGGGGAGUACGGCCGCAGGGUUAAAACUCAAAUGAAUUGACGGGGGCCCGCACAAGCGGUGGAGCAUGUGGUUUAAUUCGAUGCAACGCGAAGAACCUUACCUACUCUUGACAUCCACGGAACUUUUCAGAGAUGAAUUGGUGCCUUCGGGAACCGUGAGACAGGUGCUGCAUGGCUGUCGUCAGCUCGUGUUGUGAAAUGUUGGGUUAAGUCCCGCAGCGAGCGCAACCCUUAUCCUUUGUUGCCAGCGGUUAGGCCGGGAACUCAAAGGAGACUGCCAGUGAUAAACUGGAGGAAGGUGGGGAUGACGUCAAGUCAUCAUGGCCCUUACGAGUAGGGCUACACACGUGCUACAAUGGCGCAUACAAAGAGAAGCGACCUCGCGAGAGCAAGCGGACCUCAUAAAGUGCGUCGUAAGUCCGGAUUGGAGU
Molecule: ribosomal RNA, 528 nt
Filed under: uncultured bacterium
Lineage: Bacteria
Description: bacterial SSU rRNA
Rfam family: Bacterial small subunit ribosomal RNA
Source: RNAcentral